GCUGGGCACGGUGGAGCGUGCCUAUAAUCCCAGCAGCUCAGGAGGCUGAGGCAAGAGAAUCACAAGUUUGAGGCCAGCCUCAGCACCUUAGCGAUGCCCUAAGCAACUUAGCAAGACCCUGACUCAA
RNAcentral lists this small RNA (127 nucleotides) under Marmota monax (woodchuck). The record is from RNAcentral. Lineage: Eukaryota; Metazoa; Chordata; Mammalia; Rodentia; Sciuridae.